AUUGCGAAGGCAGCUUGCUGGACUGUAACUGACGNUGAGGCACGAAAGCGUGGGGAUCAAACAGGAUUAGAUACCCUGGUANNCCACGCNNUAAACGAUGAAUGCUAGCUGUUAGCGAUAUACUGUUAGCGGCACAGAGAAAUCGUUAAGCAUUCCACNUGGGGAGUACGCCGGCAACGGUGAAACUCAAAGGAAUUGACGGGGGCCCGCACAAGCGGAGGAACAUGUGGUUUAAUUCGAUGAUACGCGAGGAACCUUACCUGGGCUUAAAUUGCAGUGGAAUAACGUGGAAACAUGUUAGCCUUCGGGCCGCUGUGAAGGUGCUGCAUGGUUGUCGUCAGCUCGUGCCGUGAGGUGUCGGCUUAAGUGCCAUAACGAGCGCAACCCUCAUCGAUAGUUACUAACAGGUUAAGCUGAGGACUCUAUCGAGACUGCCGACGUAAGUCGUGAGGAAGGUGGGGAUGACGUCAAAUCAGCACGGCCCUUACGUCCAGGGCUACACACGUGUUACAAUGGGGGGUACAAAGGGCAGCUACCUGGCGACAGGAUGCUAAUCUCAAAAACCUCUCUCAGUUCGGAUUGGAGUCUGCAACCCGACUCCAUGAAGCUGGAUUCGCUAGUAAUCGCGCAUCAGCCACGGCGCGGUGAAUACGUUCCCGGGCCUUGUACACACCGCCCGUCAAGCCAUGGGAGCCGGGGGGACCUGAAGUAUGCAACCGUAAGGAGCGUCCUAGGGUAAAACCGGUAACUGGGGCU
RNAcentral lists this ribosomal RNA (756 nucleotides) under uncultured prokaryote. RNAcentral describes it as "bacterial SSU rRNA". It matches the Rfam family "Bacterial small subunit ribosomal RNA", at positions 712 to 1482 of the family's 1533-position model. The record is from RNAcentral.